Long non-coding RNA from Sciurus carolinensis (gray squirrel), 420 nucleotides. RefSeq lists it as uncharacterized. The record is from RefSeq and is a predicted model, not a curated record. The transcript is spliced from 3 exons. NCBI's taxonomy places the organism in Eukaryota, Metazoa, Chordata, Mammalia, Rodentia, Sciuridae.
UUACUUUGGAGCUCUGGGACAGAAUAGGCAGUGGCUACCUUGAGCUGCAUAUUUCUUAAGUUUUCAAACCUUUUUGAAAAGGAGUAAAUCCACCCCACAGGGUCCUGAUUGGCCAAUUUAGUCCAUUCGAAAUCCUGAGUAGACCUACUCUGGAAAGCCUGACGCCACCGAGGCAGUGAGACCAAGCAAGGUCUGCAACUGGGCAGCCUGGGUGACUCCACCCCUUGUCACCUGGGCGACCUCGGGAAGAGAUGGCUCACCCUCCUCUGGUUCCUCAGUGAUAAAAUGAUCAGAAAAAUGUUCACUGAACUGUCAUCAAGAAAUGACACACGUCAAUUUCAACCAUUCGAUUUUAAUGUAUAUUCCAUGCAUCCUAAUCUUGCAACAAAGAUGGUUUAGUAAUAAAUGAUUUUAAAGGCA